UAAGUCGUAAUGUUAUCAUAGUAAUGAGACUUCAAUGGAGGAGUUCAACCAAUUUCUACUGUCAAGUUCCUGCGCAAUGAAGGAUACAAAACUAAAAUUAUUGUGAGGAAUUUCGGAAAUUUCAUAUCAGGGGAGACAAUCUUGUAUAAAAAACAUAAGAAAUAAUAUAAUUUGCGGGCGGAGCUUCCUGUUCUGGUUGGACUGUAAGUUCUGGGUUCUUCGCUCCUCACGUAAUAAAUUAUCCUUACAGAUUGCCCUUGCAUUGCCCUUGGUAUAUUUGUUUCUUUGAGUUAAGAUUCCAUAGUCAUCCCAUCAGUCAAGAUCAUUCCAUCAGUCUCGAACGUACUUUUAGAGCAUUAAAGACGGAUCUACCUUCAUAGGACUAAGUCGCAUUUCGCCUAAUCUUUUUUCAAAUUUUUACUCUAUUACAAUGACAUAGUCAUCGAUUUUAAUUUUAAUUUUGAUUUUAUGUAAUAGGUAUAUUCAAUGCAAAGAAGAACGUGUCAUUUUGCUGUAUGGACGGGUCCCGAUUUUCCCUUAAAAACGGCAAAAAAAUUUAAAGAAAACAAUUUCUGGGAAACUAAAGUGAAAAAAGAAAACUGAUUUUUAUAAGUGCCUCUUGCCAGAGUACGUGGACCCUAGAAAAAGCAGGUCGAUGUCAUUGAGGUAAACCUGCUUUUAAUAAAAUUUUAUUUUAUCAAA
Molecule: long non-coding RNA, 702 nt
Organism: Plodia interpunctella (Indianmeal moth)
Lineage: Eukaryota; Metazoa; Arthropoda; Insecta; Lepidoptera; Pyralidae
Exons: 2
Source: RefSeq, a predicted model, not a curated record